GAGUUUCGUAUUGAAAGAGACGCCGCGCAGCUUUCCACUUCCCAGUCUGUUUCGAUCCGCCAUUUUUUACGUAGGAAAGCGUGUGGUUUGCCGUUGUGUUUUAUCGGAUUGUUUUACGGAAAUACUGACUUGGUUUUUGGACACCUCAUUCUUACGGUCUGCUGUACUGCAGUUUUCCGAUAGGGGCCACUGCUUCAACAUCUUGCGCACUAGCGGACGCGGCAAGUGAGACGCCAUUGUUAGAUUGCGUUCUCGUGUAUAAAGUCGUGUGCCUAUUAUCAGCGUUGGUUAAAUCGUUUGUUGAAAAUAAUACGCAGUAUUCUUCGGUUCUAGAACGAGCCGAAAAUGCCGGGUUUUAGUAGCGUUGGCACAUUUAAAAUUUUUAUCGGUAAUUUAGCCGACAAAACAUCAAAUGCCGAUAUUAAACCAUUAUUUGAAAAAUAUGGAAAGGUUGUAGAAUGUGAUGUGGUCAAAAAUUACGGAUUUGUGCAUAUGGAGAAUGAAGAAGCAGGGAGAAAUGCGAUACAAAAUUUGAAUGGACAUAUAGUUCAUGGACAGCCGAUCAAAUGUGAGGCUGCAAAGAGUCGUAAGGGACCUAAUACUCCUACAACCAAAAUAUUUGUUGGCAAUCUCACAGAUAAUACGAAAGCGCCUCAAGUGCGCGAGUUGUUUGCCAAGUAUGGUACCGUUGUAGAAUGCGAUAUCGUGAGAAAUUACGGAUUCGUCCAUCUAGAAGCAACAGGUGAUGUCAACGAUGCCAUCAAGGAACUCAAUGGACAAAUGGUGGAUGGUCAACCGAUGAAGGUUCAAAUUUCUACAAGCAGAGUACGACAAAGGCCAGGAAUGGGGGAUCCUGAACAGUGCUAUCGAUGCGGUCGCGGCGGCCAUUGGUCCAAGGAAUGUCCAAAAGGAGGAAUGGGAGGAGGACCGGAUAGAAACGGAUACAGAGACCGAAUGUUUGGACGCGACCCGUAUCCUCCACCGCCGCCACCACCGUUCCUUCGGGAUCGGUUAAUGGGUGGUGGCCGCUUUGGAGAUUACGAAAGCUACUAUGACAGGAGAGGCUUCGAGGACACCAGGGAUCUCUACGAGAGGCGGUUUACGGGUAUGGGAUCCAUGCGCGACACUGGCUUCUCCCGUGGUAACGAGUAUGGCAUGUUCAGCCGCCGAUCACCCCCUCCAAGUGGCAACAAUGGCCGGUUCAGUGCACCUCAGGCUGCGUACCAUCUUUGUCCAUGAAUGCGGGCAACCCUAGAGAGACAGUCCCGGGCCAGCGUUCAAGUCGUGCAAGACGCUCCUUAUUACGUACAUCACUCAACCGGGAGUGGCGCGGAGGCCUGGGAUGAAGAAACGUUCCUAAGGAAUGCGAACUAGAUUUCUUGAUCGCACUACCGCGAGCCAGGAUGCGAUCCUACAAUUCUAACAAACUCUCAUACGCUGUAGAUAGAAAAGAAAAGAAAAGAAAAAAAAGGGCUGGCGCGAUUUUCAGGAACGACGCCUAUCGAUUGUCUUUGAAAUGUCUCGUAAGUAGAAACCAGCUCUCCAGACGCAUUGGACAGUAAGUUUGUUUGUAUGUCGGCGUUUCUAAUAGUUGUUAAGGCCAGUUUCAUAGAUACGCUUCGGAAACAUUCUAUUAAACGCGCAUCAGUUUCAAUGUAGUCUUGGUUCAAAGUAAUUUCAUCAAAUUUUUCAAUCGUAAUUUUUCGAUACCAACGGAAGGUUGUAAAUCGUAAAAUGUGUAUCGUGGAGAAACAAAUUACGAACAGCGUCAUAGAUAGUUUCGAGUUGUAUGUUAGAAGGAGGAAAAGCAAGUUAUGAUGCACACGUCGUGUAUUUCAAUAGUUAUUUCUGUUUCCAAGUAAUCGGGGGAAAGUGUGUAAUUCUUUAAUUUUUAAGUAAUUCGUUUUUACGUUUAUUAAAACGAAAAAUUUAUUUUCUUACGUUAUCGACACUAUGAUUAUAUACGUAUGAUCGUUUUCUUUCAGUUUUUUUUUCUUUUUUCUUUUCUCUCUGAUUUCAGUUUCAUACGAAGCUUUAUCGAUCUUAAUUUUAGUAAAAUUACGUUGUUGCAACGUAAGGAUAAAAAUUGUAUUAAUUGAUUUAUAAAAUUGCACUUCGAAUUGAUUGGAAAUGUUAAGUUAUCCGUGGAAGUUUCAUGAAACCGGCCCCGUGUAUUACAAUAUCGAAGCGGAAAGAUAUGCAAAAAAUUAUGAAAACGCGCGUGUACACAUUGACACGAGUACAUACCUAUUCUGCAUACGUGCAUAUGCACACAUAUACACGUGAACAAAUACACAAAUUUAUGCAGAGAGAGAGAGAGAGAGAGAGAGCGCACGCGAGAAAAAAGAGAGAGAGGGCGAGAAAAAGAGAGAUAGAUGGAUAGGGGGAAGAAUUUGCUUCAAAAUUACGAUCCAUAAGUUCUUGAAGCUGACUUCUACUCACGAGGUUCAAAGCUUUUCAUGUAUGUAAAUCCAUUCGCAAACUUUCAAAUAGAAAACAGAGUUGAUUGAA
RNA transcript from Bombus pyrosoma, 2511 nucleotides. It is a transcript of the gene named RNA-binding protein lark, with no coding region annotated. The record is from RefSeq and is a predicted model, not a curated record. The transcript has 8 exons. Lineage: Eukaryota; Metazoa; Arthropoda; Insecta; Hymenoptera; Apidae.